GACGAACGCUGGCGGCGUGCCUUACACAUGCGAGUCGAACGGCAGCAUGGAGAGCUUGCUCUCUGAUGGCGAGUGGCGAACGGGUGAGUAAAGCAUCGGAACGUACCGUGUAGUGGGGGAUAACGUAGCGAAAGUUACGCUAAUGCCGCAUACGCACUGAGGUGGAAAGCAGGGGAUCGCAAGACCUUGCGCUAUACGAGCGGCCGAUGUCAGAUUAGCUAGUUGGUAGGGUAAAGGCCUACCAAGGCGACGAUCUGUAGCGGGUCUGAGAGGAUGAUCCGCCACACUGGGACUGAGACACGGCCCAGACUCCUACGGGAGGCAGCAGUGGGGAAUUCUGGACAAUGGGGGCAACCCUGAUCCAGCCAUGCCGCGUGAGUGAAGAAGGCCUUCGGGUUGUAAAGCUCUUUCGGCCGGGAAGAAAUCGCACAGGCUAAUACUCUGUGUGGAUGACGGUACCGGCAUAAGAAGCACCGGCUAACUACGUGCCAGCAGCCGCCGUAA
This 504-nucleotide ribosomal RNA is filed under the name uncultured bacterium. RNAcentral's name for it is "partial 16S ribosomal RNA". It matches the Rfam family "Bacterial small subunit ribosomal RNA", at positions 28 to 523 of the family's 1533-position model. The record is from RNAcentral.